Molecule: long non-coding RNA, 365 nt
Organism: Vicia villosa (hairy vetch)
Lineage: Eukaryota; Viridiplantae; Streptophyta; Magnoliopsida; Fabales; Fabaceae
Exons: 2
Source: RefSeq, a predicted model, not a curated record
UUGGUGAUGUUGAAGAAAUUGUUACCACUGUUGAAAUUGAUGAUGAGACAUAUGAAGAAAUUGUUAGGUUUCAACAGAAAUCAAGUGAAGCUUUAAAGGAUGAUCCUACAAGCUCACUCUUGAUACCUUGCAUCUUAGGAGAUGAGAUAUAUUUGGCAAUGAAGAAAAUAAUAGGUCUUGUGUCCUCCUGAUACAUACAUAAGUAAUUAGGCUUGUUCCAUACCAUAAAUCUAUGGUUUUUAUGCUAAGAUUGAAUAGCACUUGAAAAUAGCUAGGCUUUAUCUUGCUGGUUUCAUGUUUCUAAUAUGUUAGCUUGAAAUGCCCCACAUUUUUUAUUCAUGUAUAUGUGUAACUAACUUCCGUUA